UUAACUCAAAGAAGAAAAAGAUAAGUGUAUAAGGUAAUAAACAGCAGAGCAGAUGGUAUGUGCAGGAAAGAUAAAACCAAAGUCUUGUGCAUAACGCACAAGACGCCCAGAACAGUUAAACAGAAGCAGUAUCGAAGCAACAGUUUGAAUGUCCUAACCUAUUUGAAAUUCUAGCUGAUCUUCAUAGAAUUCGAAGGAUAUCAGGGUGGUGGUCAGGAAUGUUAUAUUGGCG
RNAcentral lists this long non-coding RNA (232 nucleotides) under Phaseolus vulgaris (common bean). Its description in RNAcentral is "long non-coding RNA (PVUL_LNC003444)". Lineage: Eukaryota; Viridiplantae; Streptophyta; Magnoliopsida; Fabales; Fabaceae. The record is from RNAcentral.